GCAAGUCGAGCGAACCGACGGGAGCUUGCUCCCUUAGGUCAGCGGCGGACGGGUGAGUAACACGUGGGUAACCUGCCUGUAAGACUGGGAUAACUCCGGGAAACCGGGGCUAAUACCGGAUGCUUGAUUGAACCGCAUGGUUCAAUCAUAAAAGGCGGCUUCGGCUGCCGUUUACAGAUGGACCCGCGGCGCAUUAGCUAGUUGGUGAGGUAACGGCUCACCAAGGCGACGAUGCGUAGCCGACCUGAGAGGGUGAUCGGCCACACUGGGACUGAGACACGGCCCAGACUCCUACGGGAGGCAGCAGUAGGGAAUCUUCCGCAAUGGACGAAAGUCUGACGGAGCAACGCCGCGUGAGUGAUGAAGGUUUUCGGAUCGUAAAGCUCUGUUGUUAGGGAAGAACAAGUACCGUUCGAAUAGGGCGGUACCUUGACGGUACCUAACCAGAAAGCCACGGCUAACUACGUGCCAGCAGCCGCGGUAAUACGUAGGUGGCAAGCGUUGUCCGGAAUUAUUGGGCGUAAAGCGCGCGCAGGCGGUUUCUUAAGUCUGAUGUGAAAGCCCCCGGCUCAACCGGGGAGGGUCAUUGGAAACUGGGGAACUUGAGUGCAGAAGAGGAGAGUGGAAUUCCACGUGUAGCGGUGAAAUGCGUAGAGAUGUGGAGGAACACCAGUGGCGAAGGCGACUCUCUGGUCUGUAACUGACGCU
RNAcentral lists this ribosomal RNA (708 nucleotides) under Bacillus sp. PSu1_39. RNAcentral's name for it is "bacterial SSU rRNA". It matches the Rfam family "Bacterial small subunit ribosomal RNA", at positions 57 to 747 of the family's 1533-position model. The record is from RNAcentral. Lineage: Bacteria; Bacillati; Bacillota; Bacilli; Caryophanales; Bacillaceae.